UGGUGGAGAUUAAUGGCUUGGCAGCGACUGAAACAAAAAAAUCAAAUCAUCUGAACAUGCGGUGUUCUGGGCUCUAUGCAAUGCAAGAAAGUCUAGCAGCCCUCAUGUAAAAUUUCCGUCUGAGAAAACUAGAGAAGUGGAAAUUAUUACAAGCUCCCGAGACAAGUUUAAUUAAAUUGGCUGAUAUAUGCCUGUGAUUGGGUUUUGGGUGAAAUUCAUGUGAAAAGAGUCCAAAUUUUUAACGGCAUUUCUUGCGGGGAUCUCUAAGGUUUGUAUAUUUUAAAAAGUUUGUAUAUUGUUCUUUAACAAAUCUAACCAUUUUAGAGUCGUCCAAGAUUAAUUUAGCUAAUUAAG
RNAcentral lists this unclassified non-coding RNA (354 nucleotides) under Hevea brasiliensis (rubber tree). Lineage: Eukaryota; Viridiplantae; Streptophyta; Magnoliopsida; Malpighiales; Euphorbiaceae. The record is from RNAcentral.